This 399-nucleotide ribosomal RNA is filed under the name uncultured bacterium. RNAcentral describes it as "partial 16S ribosomal RNA". It matches the Rfam family "Bacterial small subunit ribosomal RNA", at positions 360 to 773 of the family's 1533-position model. The record is from RNAcentral.
AAUCUUCCGCAAUGGGCGCAAGCCUGACGGAGCAACGCCGCGUGAGUGACGAAGGUUUUCGGAUUGUAAAACUCUGUCCAAAGGGAAGAAACAAAUGACGGUACCUUUGGAGGAAGCCCCGGCUAACUACGUGCCAGCAGCCGCGGUAAAACGUAGGGGGCAAGCGUUGUCCGGAAUUACUGGGCGUAAAGGGCGUGUAGGCGGCCUUGCAAGUCAGUCGUGAAACCUGCCGGCUUAACCGGCAGCCUGCGAUUGAAACUGCCGGGCUUGAGUACAGAAGAGGGGAGUGGAAUUCCCAGUGUAGCGGCGAAAUGCGUAGAUAUUGGGAGGAACACCAGUGGCGAAAGCGGCUCCCUGGCCUGUAACUGACGCUGAGGCGCGAAAGCGUGGGUAGCAAAC